CCGCGGUAAUACGUAGGGGGCGAGCGUUGUCCGGAUUUAUUGGGCGUAAAGGGCGUGUAGGCGGUUUUGUAAGUCAGAGGUGAAAGCCCGGAGCUUAACUCCGGAAUAGCCUUUGAGACUGCAUCGCUUGAAUCCAGGAGAGGUGAGUGGAAUUCCGAGUGUAGAGGUGAAAUUCGUAGAUAUUCGGAAGAACACCAGUGGCGAAGGCGGCUCACUGGACUGGUAUUGACGCUGAGGUGCGAAAGCGUGGGGAGCAAACAGG
This 262-nucleotide ribosomal RNA is filed under the name uncultured bacterium. RNAcentral describes it as "partial 16S ribosomal RNA". It matches the Rfam family "Bacterial small subunit ribosomal RNA", at positions 515 to 776 of the family's 1533-position model. The record is from RNAcentral.